This 515-nucleotide ribosomal RNA is filed under the name uncultured bacterium. RNAcentral describes it as "partial 16S ribosomal RNA". It matches the Rfam family "Bacterial small subunit ribosomal RNA", at positions 28 to 523 of the family's 1533-position model. The record is from RNAcentral.
GAUGAACGCUGGCGGCGUGCCUAAUACAUGCAAGUCGAGCGAAUGGAUUAAGAGCUUGCUCUUAUGAAGUUAGCGGCGGACGGGUGAGUAACACGUGGGUAACCUGCCCACAAGACUGGGAUAACUCCGGGAAACCGGGGCUAAUACCGGAUACUAUUGUGAACUGCAUGGUUCAAACUUGACAGGCCGCUAAGACUGUCACUUAUGGAUGCAUCAGCGUCGCAUUAGCAAGUUGAUGAGGUAACGGCUCACAAAGGCAACGAUGCGUAGCCGACAUGAGAGGGUGAUCGGCCACACUGGGACUGAGACACGGCCCAGACUCCUACGGGAGGCAGCAGUAGGGAAUCUUCCGCAAUGGACGAAAGUCUUACGGAUCAACGCCGCGUUAGUGAUGAAGGCUUUCGGGUCUUAAAACUCUGUUGUUAGGGAAGAACAAGUGCUAGUUGAAUAAGCUGGCUCCUUGACGUUACCUAACCAGAAAGCCACGGCUAACUACGUGCCAGCCGCCGCAGUAA